Zingiber officinale is the source of this 1471-nucleotide long non-coding RNA. RefSeq lists it as uncharacterized. NCBI's taxonomy places the organism in Eukaryota, Viridiplantae, Streptophyta, Magnoliopsida, Zingiberales, Zingiberaceae. The transcript has 3 exons. The record is from RefSeq and is a predicted model, not a curated record.
AACACUUUCUAUGAUGGGAUGAUAAACUGUUAUUUUAACCUUUAAUCUUAAAAUUUUCAAGAUACUAAAGAACAUUUGAUAUUAAUAUUUAUGUGAUAUAGCCUGGUUCAUGAAUUCACCUAUGGAAAUGCGUCCCAAAUUUAUUCAUGGUUUAACCAUGCAGUGUAAUAACUAUCCUGUUGCUUCGGGACCAUUCAUUAUGAUGCAUCCGACAUGCCUUUAUUUCUGUCUGUGAAGCAUACUGAAAAAUGAAUUAAGUAUCUUCCAAGGCUUUUGGGUGGUGCAGUUUGACUGGGGCUGUAUGUGAUGAAUGCUUCUUAUCUAUAUAUUUGUUUAUUGGCAUUUUUUUAAUUUGGACUCCAGACACUCAACUCUGAUAAUCAACUUUGUGUGGUAGGCAAAUUUCCACAAAAGCUCGUGCCCACUGUUAAGUUUAUGCAACAACUGUUGCAGGAAGUGGCCUUAGCUUUGCUGCUUGCACGCUGUUGAAAUGAUAGUUUAGUGCUUAUCUAGAAACUUUUUAAGUAUACAGAAAUAAGGCGGUAGCACCAUGUUUCAUGCAUUGCUGAGUAGAAACCCAGUUCCUGAAGACUCCUGAGUUUUUUCUUCUUAACUGGUAUUAUUUUAAUUGUAUUAGGUACUUGAUACGAUUAAAGAUUUAUCCAGAAACAAAUUCUGUCCAACUUUCAACACAAGCAUGGAGUUAAACCCAGACAAAUUAAGAUACUUACAAGCUAACGACCAGACAAAUUAAAAUACUACCUGAGCUGUCAAUGAAAGCGGGCUGUGUGUGAUCAGACUCUACACUAGCACGCAGACAGAAAGUUAAUGGGCGAUGGAGCCAUCAGCCAACAGCUUCGACACAGCAACAACAGGUCACCGGAAAACAGCCCCUUCUUUUGUCGGCCAUAUUAUUAAUGAUAAUAACUCCGGUGAAGAUACAGAUGAAUGUGAAAUUAACAGCCUGUUUGGAGUAAGUAUAACUUUAGAUGAAUGUAAUAAAAGAUAAGGCUUGCCUUUUAAUUUUGCCCAAUCUUUAGCUUGUGGUAUGUACGCGAUCUGUUCACCUGUCAGUGGUAGAGAGAUUAAUGUGGCAAAAGGCGAAAUCGCUCGCCCCAGUGCCCCCGCCGCACCCGACCCAAGACCAUCACGAGAGAGGUAAAUCGUGGUAGAGAGAUUUAGAAGAUAGGUAUAGAGGGCUCUAAUGCAUUUUUGUCUUGUCAUUCUCUUUUGAUUUUUCAUCCAUAUAAUUCCAGUUCGUGAUCAAUAAGUCAAAUCUAAGUCAAAUCGUGCGUUGAAUGAUUAAAGAAGAAAUUUUCAUUUGAAAAGUUAAAAGACCAAUCCCAACCUUCAAUCCUUUUUGUUUACCAAUUGAUGCAGUUGUACUUAACUUUUAAAUUUCUUAAAUGAUACACUUUCUGAUUUCUUAAAUGAUACACUUUCGCAUUUUAUCUCUCCAGUAAAAGAAUCA